Long non-coding RNA from Coregonus clupeaformis (lake whitefish), 1067 nucleotides. RefSeq lists it as uncharacterized. The record is from RefSeq and is a predicted model, not a curated record. The transcript has 5 exons. NCBI's taxonomy places the organism in Eukaryota, Metazoa, Chordata, Actinopteri, Salmoniformes, Salmonidae.
AUGAGAAAAAUAGAACCCAACAGACAUCAUAAUAUGGCAAAGUUGUUUCCAACAAAUGUUUUGCCUACUUUAGCAUUGCCAUCGUGUUUCCAUGACCCUCUUCUUUAGUUUAAUGUAGACUAAACAAUCACAUUAGCCUCCGAGGUGCAACCCAUGUCUAGUGCACAAAUACAGUAAAUAUUGGAUGCAGCUAUGAUAGUACUAGGUAACUCAUGUCAGUCUACAACAGUGUACUAACUAGCAGCAACAAACUCAAACCAACCCUGGGCCAUAGCAAAACAUGCAUAGUGUAACGGCGUCACCGGCCUGAAUCUAAUCCAAUCUGGAGCAGUCAGUCUACAUCUGUAAAGCAUCCAAACGAGAUUGUUAUUUCUCUAGCUAUGUUUAUAACUGAGGGAUGAUGACAAUCAUUGACCUUGUUUUUCUGUUAGACAAAAUGCACAGUUGGUCAUGAACGGAUGCCAGGACCUACCAGAAAGAGCAAAGCUUGUCAGGCAAGACCUCAGAAUAAAAGUGUGUAAUGCGACACAAGUACCCGUGUGACACCUCAUUCAUUGUUUCCAGUCUCCCUCGACUCCUAUGAAAAGGACAGACCAUCAUGAGGCCUCUGAUUGUGACCCGAGUUGCUGCCCUGAUGACACAGAUGACUUCAUCAACACAGACAAGCCCUCCCAGUCAACACCACCUCAUGAGAUUGCCUGCUGCACUUGUUCAAGAGAUGUCCAGUUUGCAGCCGGACAUGCAGCAUAAAGAACACCAGCAAGAGGGCCCCCUAUCAGCAUCAUGCAGACAUGCCCUCGCUGUGAGCACUCCUAUGAAUGGAACAGUUAGCCACAUAUUGCCAAGUAUCCGACCAGCAACCUUCACCUGUCAGCGGCAACAGCUUUCACAGGCUCAUAAUUUGUACUAAUACAGAAGUAUCUUUGAUGAGGGGCCAGGAGCUGAUCUACGCUGCCAUGCCUAUCAAUGGGGCUCUGGCAAAGGCCUCACCUCCAGCCUCACCUCUUGCCUGCUCACCAACGGUCGUCGAUGGGGAGAACAGAAUUAGAAACAUGUAUGGAGCCAGC